Molecule: non-coding RNA, 1529 nt
Organism: Nicotiana tabacum (common tobacco)
Lineage: Eukaryota; Viridiplantae; Streptophyta; Magnoliopsida; Solanales; Solanaceae
Source: RefSeq, a predicted model, not a curated record
GCUUGCUAACUCCACAACCUCACUAUAAUAAUUUACUGGCAUGAAGAUUAGUGAUUAUAAAGUCGCUGAAUAUCAUUCCUUUCUUUCUAAUUUGAUCAAUCUUCAGUAGCAAAAGAUGGCAGGGGCUCAAUGCUGCGAGAACCCACCAGCGGAGGGGUGUGUGUGUUUGACCUUGGGGGCCUCAAAACGUACGUCUCUGGUCCUUCCACUUCCAAACUUGCCAUCCUUCUCGUCUCGGAUGUUUAUGGUUAUGAAUCACCAAAUCUGAGGUAUGCAUGUGUUAAUUUGUGGUUACAUUUCAAGGGAAGAAGUCAGGUUCACCGUUCUUUGUUUAAUUUGUUUAGUAAUUAAUUAAGGAAGUUCCUAUUUUAUCUUGGGCUGCUACCAAAAUUCAACUGCUGUUGUAUAUGUAGGACAAAGUUGCGGCUGCAGGAUACUAUGUGGUGGUUCCUGAUUUUUUUUAUGGCGAUCCUUAUGAUCCUGAAAAUACGGACAAGCCUUUACCAAUCUGGCGGAACAAUAUGUGUUCAGAAUUUGUUGAAUUUAAGCUUUCUUUUUUUAAUAAUAUAGCCAUAGAUUUGUCUCUACAGAGUCAAAGGAGCCCAUGCCAUCAGGGGUGGAUCUAGAGUUUAGGUUAUGGUUCGGCUGGACUCACUAGUUUUGGUCUAAAAUUAUAUUUGUCUUAAGAAUCCAUUGAAUACAUACAAAUUAUUAACUUAGAAAUCAUUCUCGAAUCCAUAAGCUUCAAAUUCUGACUCUGCUUCUGCAUGCCAUUCAUUAAGUUGAUUGUGCUCGGAAUGUCCUGUGACAUUCUUAGCAGCAGGCCACCUUGCUAUUCAUUUUCUUAUUGUUAAUUCUUGUUAGGAUAAAGGAUUUGAAGAUGCAAAAAAGGUUGUUGCUGCUCUAAAAGAUAAAGGUAUAUGUACAAUUGGAGCUGCAGGAUUUUGCUGGGGUGGAAAGGUGGUUACUGACCUAGCUAUGUCUCAUGACUACAUUCAAGCUGCAGUGCUAUUGCACCCAUCAUUAGUCACGGUUGAUGAUAUUAAAGAGGUUAAGGCACCAAUAGCUAUUUUAGCUGCUGAGAUAGAUCCAAUCUCUCCUCCGGAGCUUAUUAAGCAGUUGGAGGAGAUUCUAUCAUCAAAACCCAAGGUGGACAGCUUUGUCAAAAUAUUUGCUGGUGUUGAGCAUGGGUGGACAGUGUGAUACAAUGUGGAAGACAAAUAGGCAGUGAAGAAUGCUGAAAAAGCCCACAAGGACAUGUUAGAUUGGUUUUGCAAGUAUGUCAAGUGAGUGCGCGCAAAGAUUACCUUCUGCCACUUGCAAAUUGCAAUUUCAAGUUAACAAGUCUUAAAAUUCUGCCAUAAGAAAAAUGACAAGCUAAUCAUUGGUCUUGUUAUUUCUCUGCGUGAUUUAUAGGAAGUUUGGUUACUAUCACUUGUAAAAAAAUUGAACUUCAUUACAAUGUGCUUGAAUAUUCUCAUGCUUUAACUCGGCCUAUUUUUGUUUAAAUUUUAUUUUCGCAUUAAAGA